This 469-nucleotide ribosomal RNA is filed under the name uncultured bacterium. RNAcentral describes it as "partial 16S ribosomal RNA". It matches the Rfam family "Bacterial small subunit ribosomal RNA", at positions 28 to 523 of the family's 1533-position model. The record is from RNAcentral.
GACGAACGCUGGCGGCGUGCUUAACACAUGCAAGUUGAACGGUCCGGCACGGAACCGUGCCGUAGUGUCGGGAAGUAGCGGACGGGGGAGUAAUGCAUGAGCAGCUGCCAUUGGGAGGGGGACAACAGUUGGAAACGGCUGCUAAUACCCCAUAUGCCGGAAGGUGAAACGGAGUGAUCCGCCCGAUGAGGUGCUCAUGUCCUAUCAGCUAGUUGGUGACGUAACGGCUCACCAAGGCGACGACGGGUAGCCGGCCUGAGAGGGUGAGCGGCGACACAGGAACUGAGAUACGGUCCAGACUCCUACGGGAGGCAGCAGUGGGGAAUAUUGGGCAACGGGGGAAACCCUGAUGCAGCAACGCCGCGUGAGUGAUGACGGCCUUCGGGUUGUAAAGCUCUGUCUUCAGGGACGAUAAUGACGGUACCUGAGGAGGAAGCCACGGCUAACUACGUGCCAGCCGCCGCGGUAA